AAUUUCUUGAUUUUUGGUUCAAGUCUUCUCAUCUCAACUACUAGCCAAACUCAUCUAUGAUGUCCAGAGAACCGUGUUGCCUUGUUCAUAUUUGGAGAUUCAUCUUUAUCUUUCUUUGUUCCUACAGACGGCGCCAAUUCAUAAGUUGAGAUCUAAUAAAAGGUAAGAUUAGAAUAUAUGUGUGUGAGUUUAGUCUCGUUUACUCUCUCUCCUUCCAUUUAUCCCUUUCCUUUUUUUUUUAUCUUUUUAUAACGUAUAACCGUCAUCCUAUACCCCUAGGCUAUAUGUGUGUGAGUUUAGUCUCGUUUGCUCUCUCUCCUCUCCUUUAUCUUUUUUUUUUUAAUUUUUUUUAAUGUAUAACCGUCGUCUUAUACUCUUACACUCUGUCAUUUCCGCGCAGGACUAUAUGUACGAACGUUCUAUCCCAUUCCCAUCGUCAGACGGCUAUUUAAUACCCUUCAAUAUCACGCAGAUACGAUUCCGAACACUUGAGGGUUAGAUGCUUUGCGUAUCCAUCACCUCUAGUGGGAUGGACCUCUUUCUCAUGAGUCUGUUUCUUGUUGAGUCUAUCCUGUCCGAAUCAAAUCCGGACUGCAUACUAGUAGUCUGGCUUAGCCUGCACAUUAGAUUUGGAUGGUCUAUGACUUAGCUUUUCAAUAUGGGCCUGACCGCGGCCAAGUAUAAGAAUCCAGCAGUUAUCUA
RNAcentral lists this long non-coding RNA (702 nucleotides) under Manihot esculenta (cassava). RNAcentral's name for it is "long non-coding RNA (MESC_LNC006330)". Lineage: Eukaryota; Viridiplantae; Streptophyta; Magnoliopsida; Malpighiales; Euphorbiaceae. The record is from RNAcentral.